Molecule: ribosomal RNA, 253 nt
Filed under: uncultured bacterium
Lineage: Bacteria
Description: partial 16S ribosomal RNA
Rfam family: Bacterial small subunit ribosomal RNA
Source: RNAcentral
UACGUAGGCAGCAAGCGUUGUUCGGAGUUACUGGGCGUAAAGAGUGCGUAGGCGGUCCUGUAAGUUUGGUGUGAAAUCUCCCGGCUCAACUGGGAGGGUGCGCCGAAGACUGCAGGGCUUGAGUAUGGGAGAGGUAAGCGGAAUUCCUGGUGUAGCGGUGAAAUGCGCAGAUAUCAGGAGGAACACCGGUGGCGAAGGCGGGUCUCUGGGCCGAUACUGACACUGAGAGACGAAAGCUAGGGGAGCGAAUGGG